Molecule: ribosomal RNA, 241 nt
Filed under: uncultured Staphylococcus sp.
Lineage: Bacteria; Bacillati; Bacillota; Bacilli; Caryophanales; Staphylococcaceae
Description: partial 16S ribosomal RNA
Rfam family: Bacterial small subunit ribosomal RNA
Source: RNAcentral
CGGACGGGUGAGUAACACGUGGAUAACCUACCUAUAAGACUGGGAUAACUUCGGGAAACCGGAGCUAAUACCGGAUAACAUAUUGAACCGCAUGGUUCAAUAGUGAAAGACGGUUUUGCUGUCACUUAUAGAUGGAUCCGCGCCGCAUUAGCUAGUUGGUAAGGUAACGGCUUACCAAGGCGACGAUGCGUAGCCGACCUGAGAGGGUGAUCGGCCACACUGGAACUGAGACACGGUCCAG